RNA transcript from Nicotiana attenuata, 4665 nucleotides. It is a transcript of the gene named ubiquitin-60S ribosomal protein L40, with no coding region annotated. The transcript is spliced from 11 exons. Lineage: Eukaryota; Viridiplantae; Streptophyta; Magnoliopsida; Solanales; Solanaceae. The record is from RefSeq and is a predicted model, not a curated record.
GCAUCGCUAUAAGCUCUCUGGUAACGGGAUGAAGUGCAAAUAGCAAAGAGAACCAAAGAUGCAGAUCUUCGUGAAAACCUUAACAGGGAAGACCAUAACCCUAGAGGUCGAAUCGAGUGACACCAUUGACAAUGUCAAGGCUAAGAUUCAGGAUAAGGAAGGGAUUCCACCGGACCAGCAACGUCUGAUAUUUGCUGGUAAACAGCUUGAAGAUGGCCGUACGCUUGCAGAUUAUAAUAUCCAAAAAGAGUCCACUUUGCAUCUUGUGCUGAGGCUUCGAGGUGGGAUUAUUGAACCGUCUCUUAUGGCUUUGGCCCGGAAGUACAACCAGGAUAAGAUGAUCUGCCGCAAGUGCUAUGCGCGUUUGCAUCCUCGUGCUGUCAACUGCAGGAAAAAGAAGUGUGGCCAUAGCAACCAGUUGAGGCCAAAGAAGAAGAUCAAGUAAACAGUAUCUAAGCGUAUUCUCACAAUGUUUGAGAAUACACCCCGCUAGUUGAUUACUAGAGGUUUAGCCAAAAAUAUGGCAUUGGGGAAGAGAACAAAAUCUCGACAUGACAAUUUCGAAGAAACCCAAGUCGAGAAAUCAUUGAAGGAAACAAGACUUCCCAUUGCAAAAAAGAGGAAAAAAUAUAUUUUUGAAGCUUCAUUUGUCAAGGGGAAGGAGGUUGAAGCAAGUAAAAGCUCGGAUACACUGGAAGAAAAGGGAAUUAAGCUGUUUGUGAAAAAAAAGCCUAUAUUUGCACCGCAUAUCAGUGUAUAUACUAACACUGACAUAGUCUCCGAGCGAAAAGAAAAUCUUACUCCAGAGCAGAACAAACAACUGGGCAAUACUUGUUUUGAAAAUUUUCCUUCAAAUGAAUCGUUGUGAAGUCCAACAACAACUCUUCAGAUACUUCAUGGCUCUCCAGUUAGAAGGAAGUCCUGACAAUGUAUUUGCAAUACACGUCAAUGGUACUUCAUUAUCUUUUUCAAUAAGGAAGUUUGCGCUUGUGACUGGCCUUAAAUAUGUUGGUAAUCCUGCUGAUUUUGAGUUCAAUGAAAAGGUUCCUAACCGAAUUAUUGACUUACAUUGGAGGUGCCAAUCUUGUCAAAAAGAAAGAUUUGAUGGAAUGCUUUGCUGACAAGAAUUGGGGUCACGACAAUGAUGUGGAUGCCUUAAAGAUAGCUGUGUUGUAUUUAAUACACACUUUUAUUUUUUCAUCCGAGAAGAACAACACAACCAUCCGAAAGCUACAUUUUUACUUGGUCAAGAGUGGGCACUAUUCUGAAUAUCCAUGGGGUAUAAAAGCAUUUGAAAGCCUGACAAAAUCUAUUAGCAAGAAGAUGGAUGCUCAGAAGAAGUACUACAUGAUAGAUGGGAUGCCUCUAGCUAUGCAAGUGUGGUUUUAUGAGUGCUGUUCAAAAGUUGAUCCCAAAAUUGCACUCUGAGUUGAUAACGUGGUCCCAGAAUACUCAAUUGGAGAUCCACUGGUAAUCAGCCAAACUUUGCUUAUCUGAUGAACGACAUAUCAAUGACAAGGGAAAUAUGAUUGUUUACAAGGACAUCCACCCAACCGAUAUAGAGCUUGCCGUUAUUCAGAUUCCUCCAGUAGGCGUUGCUGUUGAGAACGGUCCUACUCCUACUCAUUCAGACAAGUCGGCGGAGGAAUCAGAUGAUUUUUCUCCUAUACCUGAUCUUUAGUGUAAGAAGAAACAUGUUGCAAGUGUUUGUCCAUCUUCAUCAUCGCCCCAUAAAAAACGCAAGGAACAGAUUAUUCAUCCCUCAAAUACAGAGAAUCGAUCCAAGAUUCCUCCUGUUGGUGUAUCUGAAAUUGCACAAAUGUUUUGCAUCACAAUCAGCUGGCAGAUUCCAAAAAUGAUGAAGUAUCUUCUUUGAGGAAAGAUCUAAAUUCAUUCAAAGAAUACGUGAGUUUUUUAUCCACACAUUAAACAUUACAGUUUAGUGCUUAACAUUCGUAAAUUUUUGGCGCACUUUUCUAGUUAUUUCUUUCUUGCUAAGUUUGUGGGCGAGUUCAAGUCUCUGAGAUCAUUGAUCAAUGAUAACUUUAAGAUGCUUUCUGACCAUCUUCAAGACAAUCAACAAAAAAAAAGCUUACACCAGAGAAAGGAAACCAUAGGGAGACGUGAUGAUGGUAUUGAAAUGCCAUAUGGUGCCAACUUGCAAGAUAUUUAGAAAGGUCACAGACAGACUGAUAUAGUUGUCGGCGAUAAUGUUGAGAAUACAGUGGUUAAUGCUCUUUGUGUGGAGUGAAGAGUGGAGGGGAAUACUACAUCAGAGGUGCCGUGCAACAUACCACCUAUAGGCCAAGAGGGUGUAUCUACAAAUUACUAUGUAUCUCAAUUUGAGCUGGACGACAAGUUUCUUCCCAGUCAAAUUCCAGAAACUAGAAUUGUGAUACACAACAGUGCAAAAAAAGUUGAAUCAACCCAAGUACCAUCUCAUAUGAAUCGGCGACCAAGUAGAUGGUAUUCUUCGCCUUACGAGUCUAACUUCGACUCCGCAGGUACCUCAGUAUAGUUGACCCCCAUUUUUGGAAAAAGACACCCCUUUGAGGAUGAUUCAAUAACGGGGACACAUCCUACAUUAAUCAUUCAGGAAUACGUCAAAUGGGUUCGUGAUGGUCUUCUCGCUAAACAUGAACAGAAGUGACUUUUUUCCCGGUAUGUCUAUUACAUAUUUAUAUUUUAAAAAAAGGAUAUAAUAUUUUUUUAUAUCAUACUUGUAGAAGUAAUUUGGAAGACCAUUACAAGAAGAACAAGUCAACACUUCAUAUACCAUUGGAUUUUGGAGUUGAUCAAGUCAAUUCAAAAAAUUGAUUUUACCUUCUAAUGUUUGACGGUAAACUAUGGGAUGACAAUGUAAGUUUUACCCCUUCUUACUCCACUAUAAUUCAUUUCUUUUGUAUUGGUUUGUCUAAUUGUAUAAUUCACAAAUUGAGCUCUCACACAAAUUUGUCUUACAUUAUUUUUAUGUAUUCAAUUGUACUCAGAUGUAUCUUUUACAUCUGCUGUAUUUAAUUAUUCAGUUGUAUUUUAACAUUACUCAGUAGUUGUAAAUAACAGAUGUUUUUAGCUGAAUCUGUAUAGUGUAUUUAAUGGCAUCAUUAUUCUUGAAUAGCUGCUGUAUUUUACUGUAUUCAGAUGUAUUUUAAAAGUUCUCAGUAGUUGUAACUAACAGAUGUAUUUCAGUACUAUGUAUUUAAUUGCCUCAUUAGUCUUGAAUAACAACAUGUAUUUAAAUAUAUUUAGAUGUAUUUUAAUAUUACUAGGUAGUUGUAAAUAACAGAUGUAUUUAACUGAAUCUGUAUGCUGUAUUUAAGUGUAUUCAGAUGUAUUCUUGAAUAACUGCUGUAUUUAAGUGUAUUCAGAAUAAUGAGGCCAUUAAAUACAUCAUACAGAUUCAGUUAAAUACAUUUGUUAUUUACAACUACCUAGUAAUAUUAAAAUACAUCUAAAUAUAUUUAAAUACAUGUUGUUAUUCAAGACUAAUGAGGCAAUUAAAUACAUAGUACUGAAAUACAUAUGUUAGUUACAACUACUGAGAACUUUUAAAAUACAUCUGAAUGCAGUAAAAUACAGCAGUUAUUCAAGAAUAAUGAUACCAUUAAAUACACCAUACAGAUUCAGCUAAAAACAUCUGUUAUUUACAACUACUGAGUAAUGUUAAAAUACAACUGAAUACAAUUAAAUACAGCAGAUGUAAAAGAUACAUCUGAGUACAAUUGAAUACAUAAAAAUAAUGUAAGACAAAUUUGUGUGAGAGCUCAAUUUGUGAAUUAUACAAUUAGACAAACCAAUACUAAAGAAAUGAAUUAUAGUGGAGUAGGAAGGGGUGAAACUUACAUUGUCAUCCCAUAGUUUUUAACGUCAAACGAUAGAUGGUAAAAUCAAUUUUUUGAAUUGACUUGAUCAACUCCAAAAUUCAAUGGUAUAUGAAGUGUUGACUUGUUCUUCUUGUAAUGGUCUUCCAAAUUACUUCUACAAGUAUGAUAUAAAAAAAUAUUAUAUCCAUUUUUUAAAAUAUAAAUAUGUAAUAGACAUACCGGGGAAAAAGUCACUUCUGUUCAUGUUUAGCGAGAAGACCAUCACGAACCCAUUUGUCGUAUUUCUGAAUGAUUAAUGUAGGAUGUGUCCCCGUUAUUGAAUCAUCCUCAAAGGAGUGUCUUUUUCCAAAAAUGGGGGUCAACUAUACUGAGGUACCUGUUGUUCAUUGAAUUCAUGAAUAAAGACUUUUAAUUAUAAAAACCACGGGGAAAUAGAUCAUUAGUUUAUAAAACACUAACCUGCGGAGUCGAAGUUAGACUCGUAAGGCGAAGAAUACCAUCUACUUGGUCGCCGAUUCCUAUGAGAUGGUACUGGGGUUGAUUCAACUUUUUUUGCACUGUUAUGUGUCACAAUUCUAGUUUCUGAAAUUUGACUGGGAAGAAACUUGUCGUCCAGCUCAAAUUGAGAUACAUAGUAAUCUGUAGAUACACCCUCUUGGCCUAUAGGUGGUAUGUUGCACGACACAUCUGAUGUAGUAUUCCCCUCCACUCUUGACUCCACACAAAGAGCAUUAACCGCUGUAUUCUGUUAGACGUAUGCAUCAAUGUUGGUGUAGUAACUAACUGUAUGAAUACAGUUAAAUACAUAUAAAUAUAAUACAUAUUUGAUCUUGAAUUUGUA